This 252-nucleotide ribosomal RNA is filed under the name uncultured bacterium. RNAcentral describes it as "partial 16S ribosomal RNA". It matches the Rfam family "Bacterial small subunit ribosomal RNA", at positions 524 to 776 of the family's 1533-position model. The record is from RNAcentral.
UACGGAGGGUGCAAGCGUUAUCCGGAUUCACUGGGUUUAAAGGGUGUGUAGGCGGGUCUGUAAGUCAGUGGUGAAAUCUCCGAGCUCAACUUGGAAACUGCCAUUGAUACUAUAGAUCUUGAAUUUUGUUGAGGUAGGCGGAAUAUGUCAUGUAGCGGUGAAAUGCAUAGAUAUGACAUAGAACACCGAUUGCGAAGGCAGCUUACUAAGCAAAUAUUGACGCUGAGGCACGAAAGCGUGGGAUCAAACAGG